GAGCUCGUAGGCGGUUUGUCGCGUCUGCUGUGAAAGCCCGGGGGCUCAACCCCGGGUCUGCAGUGGGUACGGGCAGACUAGAGUGCAGUAGGGGAGACUGGAAUUCCUGGUGUAGCGGUGAAAUGCGCAGAUAUCAGGAGGAACACCGAUGGCGAAGGCAGGUCUCUGGGCUGUUACUGACGCUGAGGAGCGAAAGCAUGGGGAGCGAACAGGAUUAGAUACCCUGGUAGUCCAUGCCGUAAACGUUGGGCACUAGGUGUGGGGGACAUUCCACGUUCUCCGCGCCGUAGCUAACGCAUUAAGUGCCCCGCCUGGGGAGUACGGCCGCAAGGCUAAAACUCAAAGGAAUUGACGGGGGCCCGCACAAGCGGCGGAGCAUGCGGAUUAAUUCGAUGCAACGCGAAGAACCUUACCAAGGCUUGACAUUCACCGGACCGCCUCAGAGAUGGGGUUUCCCUUCGGGGUCGGUGGACAGGUGGUGCAUGGUUGUCGUCAGCUCGUGUCGUGAGAUGUUGGGUUAAGUCCCGCAACGAGCGCAACCCUCGUUCUAUGUUGCCAGCACGUGAUGGUGGGGACUCAUAGGAGACUGCCGGGGUCAACUCGGAGGAAGGUGGGGAUGACGUCAAAUCAUCAUGCCCCUUAUGUCUUGGGCUUCACGCAUGCUACAAUGGCCGGUACAAAGGGUUGCGAUACUGUGAGGUGGAGCUAAUCCCAAAAAGCCGGUCUCAGUUCGGAUUGAGGUCUGCAACUCGACCUCAUGAAGUCGGAGUCGCUAGUAAUCGCAGAUCAGCAACGCUGCGGUGAAUACGUUCCCGGGCCUUGUACACACCGCCCGUCAAGUCACGAAAGUUGGUAACACCCGAAGCCGGUGGCCUAACCCCUUGUGGGAGGGAGCCGUCGA
RNAcentral lists this ribosomal RNA (901 nucleotides) under Kocuria sediminis. Its description in RNAcentral is "bacterial SSU rRNA". It matches the Rfam family "Bacterial small subunit ribosomal RNA", at positions 565 to 1459 of the family's 1533-position model. The record is from RNAcentral. Lineage: Bacteria; Bacillati; Actinomycetota; Actinomycetes; Micrococcales; Micrococcaceae.